GCUCUUGCAUCGAUGAAGAACGUAGCGAAAUGCGAUACUUGGUGUGAAUUGCAGAAUCCCGUGAACCAUCGAGUCUUUGAACGCAAGUUGCGCCCGAAGCCAUUAGGCCGAGGGCACGCCUGCCUGGGUGUUGCACAUCGUUGCCCCUAUGCCUUAGCCACGU
RNAcentral lists this ribosomal RNA (163 nucleotides) under Spartium junceum. RNAcentral describes it as "5.8S ribosomal RNA". The stretch from base 1 to 133 matches the Rfam family "5.8S ribosomal RNA", at positions 24 to 154 of the family's 154-position model. From Rfam's summary of the family: 5.8S ribosomal RNA (5.8S rRNA) is a component of the large subunit of the eukaryotic ribosome. Lineage: Eukaryota; Viridiplantae; Streptophyta; Magnoliopsida; Fabales; Fabaceae. The record is from RNAcentral.